GCACUGAUGACGAGUUCCAAACAGAACGAAACUGCUGUCCAGUGC
Molecule: non-coding RNA, 45 nt
Organism: Echinostoma caproni
Lineage: Eukaryota; Metazoa; Platyhelminthes; Trematoda; Plagiorchiida; Echinostomatidae
Source: Rfam